GAUGAAGAACGCAGCGAAUUGCGAUAAGUAAUGCGAAUUGCAGAAUUCAGUGAGUCAUCGAAUCUUUGAACGCACAUUGCGCCCUGUGGUAUUCCGCAGGGCAUGCCUGUUCGAGCGUCAUUUCAACCCUCAAGCUCUGCUUGGUGUUGGGCCCUGCCCGCUGCGGCCGGCCCUAAAGACAGUGGCGGUGCCGCCUGGCCCUGAGCGUAGUACAUCUCUCGCUCCAGUGCCCGGUGGUAGCCUGCCAGAACCCCAACUCUCGUGGUUGACCUCGGAUCAGGUAGGGAUACCCGCUGAACUUAAGCAUAUCAAUAAGCGGAGGA
Molecule: unclassified non-coding RNA, 323 nt
Filed under: soil metagenome
Description: partial contains 5.8S ribosomal RNA, internal transcribed spacer 2, and large subunit ribosomal RNA
Rfam family: 5.8S ribosomal RNA (bases 1-120)
Source: RNAcentral